AAGACAUGAUGUGGACAUUUCUUAAGAAUUUCUUAAAUCUCUCCCAAGCUUCAUAUAUUGAUUCUCCAUCUAAUUAAGUGAAUAAAGUGAUGAUAUUCCUAAGUUU
This is a small nucleolar RNA of Dendrobium catenatum, 106 nucleotides long. NCBI's taxonomy places the organism in Eukaryota, Viridiplantae, Streptophyta, Magnoliopsida, Asparagales, Orchidaceae. The record is from RefSeq and is a predicted model, not a curated record.